RNAcentral lists this ribosomal RNA (1503 nucleotides) under uncultured prokaryote. RNAcentral's name for it is "partial 16S ribosomal RNA". It matches the Rfam family "Bacterial small subunit ribosomal RNA". The record is from RNAcentral.
AGAGUUUGAUCAUGGCUCAGAUUGAACGCUGGCGGCAGGCCUAACACAUGCAAGUCGAGCGAGAAAGCACUUCGGUGCGAGUAGAGCGGCGGAAGCGGCGGACGGGUGAGUAACGCGUAGGAAUUUGCCCAGUAGUGGGGGACAACUUAGGGAAACUUAAGCUAAUACCGCAUACGCCCUAAGGGGGAAAGCAGGGGAUCUUCGGACCUUGCGCUAUUGGAUGAGCCUGCGUCGGAUUAGCUAGUUGGUGAGGUAAUGGCUCACCAAGGCGACGAUCUGUAGCUGGUCUGAGAGGACGACCAGCCACACUGGGACUGAGACACGGCCCAGACUCCUACGGGAGGCAGCAGUGGGGAAUAUUGCACAAUGGGCGAAAGCCUGAUGCAGCAAUGCCGCGUGUGUGAAGAAGGCCUGAGGGUUGUAAAGCACUUUCAGUUGGGAGGAAAAGUUAUAGUUUAAUACGCUAUAGCCGUGACGUUACCAACAGAAGAAGCACCGGCUAACUCCGUGCCAGCAGCCGCGGUAAUACGGAGGGUGCAAGCGUUAAUCGGAAUUACUGGGCGUAAAGCGCGCGUAGGUGGUUUGUUAAGCGAGAUGUGAAAGCCCCGGGCUUAACCUGGGAACUGCAUUUCGAACUGGCAGACUAGAGUAUGGUAGAGGAGAGUGGAAUUUCAGGUGUAGCGGUGAAAUGCGUAGAGAUCUGAAGGAACACCAGUGGCGAAGGCGGCCUCCUGGCCUAAUAUUGACGCUGAGGUGCGAAAGCGUGGUGAGCAAACAGGAUUAGAUACCCUGGUAGUCCACGCCGUAAACGAUGUCUACUAGUCGUCGGGAUCCUUGAGGUCUUGGUGACGAAGCUAACGCGAUAAGUAGACCGCCUGGGGAGUACGGCCGCAAGGUUAAAACUCAAAUGAAUUGACGGGGGCCCGCACAAGCGGUGGAGCAUGUGGUUUAAUUCGAUGCAACGCGAAAAACCUUACCUACUCUUGACAUCCCGUGAACUUUCCAGAGAUGGAUUGGUGCCUUCGGGAACACGGUGACAGGUGCUGCAUGGCUGUCGUCAGCUAGUGUCGUGACAUGUUGGGGUAAGUCCCGUAACUAGCGCAACCCUUGUCCUUAGUUGCCAGCAUUAAGUUGGGCACUCUAAGGAGACUGCCGGUGACAAACCGGAGGAAGGUGGGGACGACGUCAAGUCAUCAUGGCCCUUAUGGGCAGGGCUACACACGUGCUACAAUGGGCGGUACAGAGGGUCGCUAACCCGCGAGGGGGUGCUAAUCUCACAAAACCGUUCGUAGUCCGGAUCGGAGUCUGCAACUCGACUCCGUGAAGUCGGAAUCGCUAGUAAUCGUGAAUCAGAAUGUCACGGUGAAUACGUUCCCGGGCCUUGUACACACCGCCCGUCACACCAUGGGAGUUGGCUGUACCAGAAGCCGGUAGUCUAACCUUAGGGAGGGCGCCGUCCACGGUAUGGUCAAUGACUGGGGUGAAGUCGGAACAAGGUAACCA